Molecule: ribosomal RNA, 460 nt
Filed under: uncultured bacterium
Lineage: Bacteria
Description: partial 16S ribosomal RNA
Rfam family: Bacterial small subunit ribosomal RNA
Source: RNAcentral
CCUACGGGUGGCAGCAGUGAGGAAUAUUGGUCAAUGGACGAGAGUCUGAACCAGCCAAGUAGCGUGAAGGAUGACUGCCCUAUGGGUUGUAAACUUCUUUUAUAUGGGAAUAAAAUGUUCCACGUGUGGGAUUUUGUAUGUACCAUAUGAAUAAGGCUCGGCUAACUCCGUGCCAGCAGCCGCGGUAAUACGGAGGAUCCGAGCGUUAUCCGGAUUUAUUGGGUUUAAAGGGAGCGUAGGUGGAGUGUUAAGUCAGUUGUGAAAGUUUGCGGCUCAACCGUAAAAUUGCAGUUGAAACUGGCAGUCUUGAGUACAGUAGAGGUGGGCGGAAUUCGUGGUGUAGCGGUGAAAUGCUUAGAUAUCACGAAGAACUCCGAUUGCGAAGGCAGUUCACUGGACUGCAACUGACACUGAGGCUCGAAAGUGUGGGUAUCAAACAGGAUUAGAUACCCUUGUAGUC